AUCGUGGGAGGAAGGUGAGGAUGACGCCAGGUCAGCAUGGCCCUCUGAUACCCUGGGCUACACACGUGAUACAAUCGCCGGUACAACGGGACGCAAUAUCGUAAAAGAUGGAGCAAAUCCCUAUAAGUCGGCGCCAGUUCGGAUUGAGGUCUGCAACUCGACCUCAUGAAGCCGGAAUCGCUAGUAAUCGCGGGUCAGCUAUACCGCGGUGAAUACGUUCUCAAGUCUUGUACUCAGAAUUAAAGGCGCUGGGCAGGUAAUAAAUCUAAAUCGUUAAAAUCGAUUCCUAA
RNAcentral lists this ribosomal RNA (290 nucleotides) under bacterium. RNAcentral describes it as "partial 16S ribosomal RNA". The stretch from base 1 to 233 matches the Rfam family "Bacterial small subunit ribosomal RNA", at positions 1159 to 1386 of the family's 1533-position model. The record is from RNAcentral.